AUUGAACGCUGGCGGCAGGCCUAACACAUGCAAGUCGAGCGGAUGAAGGGAGCUAGCUCCUGGAUUCAGCGGCGGACGGGUGAGUAAUGCCUAGGAAUCUGCCUGGUAGUGGGGGAUAACGUCCGGAAACGGGCGCUAAUACCGCAUACGUCCUGAGGGAGAAAGUGGGGGAUCUUCGGACCUCACGCUAUCAGAUGAGCCUAGGUCGGAUUAGCUAGUUGGUGGGGUAAAGGCCUACCAAGGCGACGAUCCGUAACUGGUCUGAGAGGAUGAUCAGUCACACUGGAACUGAGACACGGUCCGGAUUCCUACGGAGGGCGGAGGUGGGGAUUAUUGGACAAUGGGGGAAAGCUGAUCCAGCCAUGCCGCGUGUGUGAAGAAGGUCUUCGGAUUGUAAAGCACUUUAAGUUGGGAGGAAGGGCAGUAAGUUAAUACCUUGCUGUUUUGACGUUACCAACAGAAUAAGCACCGGCUAACUUCGUG
Molecule: ribosomal RNA, 483 nt
Filed under: uncultured bacterium
Lineage: Bacteria
Description: partial 16S ribosomal RNA
Rfam family: Bacterial small subunit ribosomal RNA
Source: RNAcentral